GUUUGAUCCUGGCUCAGGAUGAACGCUAGCGGCAGGCUUAACACAUGCAAGUCGAGGGGCAGCAUGAAUGUAGCAAUACAUUUGAUGGCGACCGGCGCACGGGUGCGUAACGCGUAUGCAACCUACCUAUAACAGGGGGAUAAUCCGAAGAAAUUUGGUCUAAUACCCCAUAAUAUCUGAGAAGGCAUCUUUUCAGGUUGAAAGCUCCGACGGUUAUAGAUGGGCAUGCGUUGUAUUAGGUAGUUGGUGA
RNAcentral lists this ribosomal RNA (250 nucleotides) under uncultured Alistipes sp. Its description in RNAcentral is "partial 16S ribosomal RNA". It matches the Rfam family "Bacterial small subunit ribosomal RNA", at positions 11 to 255 of the family's 1533-position model. The record is from RNAcentral. Lineage: Bacteria; Pseudomonadati; Bacteroidota; Bacteroidia; Bacteroidales; Rikenellaceae.